AGCUGGUAUUCUAAUUAAACUACUUCUUG
Molecule: transfer RNA, 29 nt
Filed under: Mus musculus (house mouse)
Lineage: Eukaryota; Metazoa; Chordata; Mammalia; Rodentia; Muridae
Description: partial tRNA-Pro
Source: RNAcentral